GUCUUCGUGGUGCAACGGUAGCACACUCGGCCCGUAUUCGAGAGGUCCGGGUUCGAGUCAGGGCGACGGCA
Molecule: transfer RNA, 71 nt
Filed under: Stegodyphus mimosarum
Lineage: Eukaryota; Metazoa; Arthropoda; Arachnida; Araneae; Eresidae
Rfam family: tRNA
About the family: Transfer RNA (tRNA) molecules are approximately 80 nucleotides in length.
Source: Rfam by way of RNAcentral